GACGAACGCUGGCGGCGUGCUUAACACAUGCAAGUCGAACGGAAAGGCCCUGCUUUUGUUGGGUUCUUGAUUGGCGAACGGGUGAGUAACACGUGAGUAACCUGCCCUUUACUUUGGGAUAACUUCAGGAAACUGGGGCUAAUACCGGAUAUGAUCUCCUGCUCCAUGUUGGGGGUUGGAAAGUUUCGGCGGUUGGGGAUGUACUCGCGGGUUAUCAGCUUGUUGGUGGGGUAGUGGCUUACCAAGGCUUUGACGGGUAGCCGGCCUGAGAGGGUGACCGGCCACAUUGGGACUGAGAGACGGCCCAGACGCCUACGGGAGGCAGCAGUGGGGAAUAUUGCACAAUGGGGGGAAGCCUGAUGCAGCAACGCCGCGUGCGGGAUGACGGCCUUCGGGGUGUAAACAGCUUUCGCAUGUGACGAAGAGUGAGUGACGGUAAUGGGUAAAGAAGCACCGGCUAACUACGUG
This 468-nucleotide ribosomal RNA is filed under the name uncultured bacterium. Its description in RNAcentral is "partial 16S ribosomal RNA". It matches the Rfam family "Bacterial small subunit ribosomal RNA", at positions 28 to 507 of the family's 1533-position model. The record is from RNAcentral.